This 226-nucleotide unclassified non-coding RNA is filed under the name uncultured fungus. RNAcentral describes it as "sequence contains ITS1, 5.8S rRNA gene". The stretch from base 178 to 226 matches the Rfam family "5.8S ribosomal RNA", at positions 1 to 49 of the family's 154-position model. The record is from RNAcentral. Lineage: Eukaryota; Fungi.
UCUCCGUAGGUGAACCUGCGGAGGGAUCAUUACUGAGUGAGGGCUUCGGUCCGACCUCCAACCCUUUGUGAACCAAACUUGUUGCUUCGGGGGCGACCCUGCCGCUUCGGCGGUGCGGCGCCCCCAGAGGCCAAUAAACACUGCAUCAUUGCGUCGGAGUUAAAGUAAAUUAAACAAAACUUUCAACAAAGGGUCUCUUGGUUCCAGCAUCGAUGAAGAACGCAGC